GAUGAACGCUGGCGGCGUGCUUAACACAUGCAAGUCGAACGGUGAACACGGAGCUUGCUCUGUGGGAUCAGUGGCGAACGGGUGAGUAACACGUGAGCAACCUGCCCCUGACUCUGGGAUAAGCGCUGGAAACGGCGUCUAAUACUGGAUAUGUGACGUGACCGCAUGGUCUGCGUCUGGAAAGAAUUUCGGUUGGGGAU
This 200-nucleotide ribosomal RNA is filed under the name uncultured bacterium. Its description in RNAcentral is "partial 16S ribosomal RNA". It matches the Rfam family "Bacterial small subunit ribosomal RNA", at positions 28 to 226 of the family's 1533-position model. The record is from RNAcentral.